This 910-nucleotide ribosomal RNA is filed under the name Streptomyces sp. RNAcentral describes it as "bacterial SSU rRNA". It matches the Rfam family "Bacterial small subunit ribosomal RNA", at positions 1 to 889 of the family's 1533-position model. The record is from RNAcentral. Lineage: Bacteria; Bacillati; Actinomycetota; Actinomycetes; Kitasatosporales; Streptomycetaceae.
UGUCGUUUAAAGAAUUAAGUAUGAGUAGAGCUAGGCUUGUAUUUGAUCCUGGCUCAGGACGAAACCAGGCGAUGUGAUUAACACAAGCAAGUCUAACGAUGAACCACCUUUCGGGUUGGGAUUAGUAGCGACCGGGUGAGUACCUCGUAGGUAGUCUGCCCUGCAGUAUGGGGCAAGCCCUGGAAACGGGGUCUUAUACCGGAUGCUGAAGCAUCUGGGCAUCUUGGUGGUUCGUAAGCUCCGGCGUUGCAGGAUGUGCCUGCGGCCUAUCAGCUUGUUCGUGAGGUAGCGGCUCACCAAGUCGGAGACGGGUAGCCGUCCCGAGAGGGCGGCCGCCCACACUGGGAUUGUGACACGGCCCAGACUCGUACGGGAGGCACCAGUGGGGAAUAUUUCACACUGGGCGAAAGCCUGAUGCAAGGACGUCGCGUGAGGGAUGACGGCCUUCGGGUUGUAAACCUCUUUCAGCAGGGAAGAAGCGAGAGUGACGGUACCUUCACAAGAAGCGCCGGCUAAAUACGUGCCAGCAGCCGCGGUAAUAUGUAGGGCGCGAGCGUUGUCCUGAAUUAUUGGGCGUAAAGAGCUCGUAGGCGGCUUGUAGCAUCGGUUGUGAAAGAAUCGCCGGUUAACCCCGGGUCUGCAGUCGAUACGGGCAGGCUAGAGUUCGGUAGGGGAGAUCGGAAUUCCUGGUGUAGCGGUGAAAAGCGCAGAUAUCAGGGGGGACACCGCUGGGGAAGGGGGAUCUUUGGGCCGAUACUGACGCUGAGGAGGGAAAGAGUCGGGAGAGCACAGGAUUAGAUACCCUGGUGGUAGCCCACCGUAAACGAUGGGCGCUAGAGUGGGCGAGCAUUCCCAGAUCGUUCCGUGCCGCAGACUAAGCGCAUUAAGUGCCCCCGGCCUGGAUGCCCCC